This 253-nucleotide ribosomal RNA is filed under the name uncultured bacterium. Its description in RNAcentral is "partial 16S ribosomal RNA". It matches the Rfam family "Bacterial small subunit ribosomal RNA", at positions 524 to 776 of the family's 1533-position model. The record is from RNAcentral.
UACAGAGGUGGCAAGCGUUGUUCGGAAUUACUGGGCGUAAAGGGCGCGUAGGCGGUUCGAUAAGUCCCGUGUGAAAUCCCUCGGCUCAACUGAGGAAUGGCACGGGAAACUGCCGGGCUUGAGUUCGGGAGAGGGAAGCGGAAUUCCGGGUGUAGCGGUGAAAUGCGUAGAUAUCCGGAGGAACACCGGUGGCGAAGGCGGCUCACUGGACCGGUAUUGACGCUGAGGUGCGAAAGCGUGGGGAGCAAACAGG